RNAcentral lists this ribosomal RNA (453 nucleotides) under Curtobacterium sp. VKM Ac-2884. RNAcentral's name for it is "bacterial SSU rRNA". It matches the Rfam family "Bacterial small subunit ribosomal RNA", at positions 1 to 453 of the family's 1533-position model. The record is from RNAcentral. Lineage: Bacteria; Bacillati; Actinomycetota; Actinomycetes; Micrococcales; Microbacteriaceae.
UUUACGGAGAGUUUGAUCCUGGCUCAGGACGAACGCUGGCGGCGUGCUUAACACAUGCAAGUCGAACGAUGAUGCCCAGCUUGCUGGGUGGAUUAGUGGCGAACGGGUGAGUAACACGUGAGUAACCUGCCCCUGACUCUGGGAUAAGCGUUGGAAACGACGUCUAAUACUGGAUAUGAUCACUGGCCGCAUGGUCUGGUGGUGGAAAGAUUUUUUGGUUGGGGAUGGACUCGCGGCCUAUCAGCUUGUUGGUGAGGUAAUGGCUCACCAAGGCGACGACGGGUAGCCGGCCUGAGAGGGUGACCGGCCACACUGGGACUGAGACACGGCCCAGACUCCUACGGGAGGCAGCAGUGGGGAAUAUUGCACAAUGGGCGAAAGCCUGAUGCAGCAACGCCGCGUGAGGGAUGACGGCCUUCGGGUUGUAAACCUCUUUUAGUAGGGAAGAAGCGA